GUAGCAAUACAUAGCAAGAAAAAACUCUAAAGAAGAGGAGAAGAAGAUGAUUAAGGAAAAAAAUCAAGUGUUAAUCACGAUCCAGGCUUCGUUCAGUUUUAGCAGGCUGAAUUUUUAGAGAAAAAAAAAUUAAAUUAAAGAGGGCUGUUCCAGCCUGAUUCUGAGUAGAUACUCAUAAAGGUCAGAUACUUGUGCAGCUAAGAAAGAA
Molecule: long non-coding RNA, 208 nt
Filed under: Elaeis guineensis (African oil palm)
Lineage: Eukaryota; Viridiplantae; Streptophyta; Magnoliopsida; Arecales; Arecaceae
Description: long non-coding RNA (EGUI_LNC074282)
Source: RNAcentral